Long non-coding RNA from Anopheles funestus (African malaria mosquito), 1266 nucleotides. RefSeq lists it as uncharacterized. The record is from RefSeq and is a predicted model, not a curated record. The transcript has 2 exons. Lineage: Eukaryota; Metazoa; Arthropoda; Insecta; Diptera; Culicidae.
UUACCAAAAAAAAAAAAACAAUUCUGCUUUAAGCGAGCAUUUAACAGAACAUUUGAUAGUUUGUUGGUUUGUAAAAGAAAUAAAAUUAACUUUUUUAAGCACUUCUUCGGCGUAAAAAGAUUUUAAGGCACUCCUUGGCGUUUGGUAAAAAUAUUAUCAUAAUCUAAAAGUUAUCUGAUCUGGUAAAAUAUCUGAUGAAAAUUAUUGGUCAAUCAAUUAAUAGGUCUCUUAGACAUGCUGAUUUAAGUCAUUAAGUCCUCUGUAUCAUAAAUGAGUUAAAUCUUAGAUUGACUCUUUGAAGAGAUAUGCUUAAAAAUAAAAUUGUUACUGUAGGGGGAGGGCGCUCACUCGCGAAAGAGUGAUAUCAAGCAAGAAAAAGCCAUAUUUGACUUGUAUUUGACUGAGUAUUUUUUGACUCUUGAAAGAGCCAUAAAUCUAUGUGGCAAACUCAUUAACGAAUCCAAAUCACUCUUGAGUUAAGUAACUCUUAACAGAGUUAACUAACUUUCAAUGAGUAAGUUACUUACUUCAAAUGAGUAAGUUAUAUCGCAAAGGAUAGUAUAUAAUAAUAAGCUGUUCGUAGAUAUUCGAACAGGGACGGCUCGAUGGUGGAAAUGGUAGCGAUGCCAGUCUUUACACCACAGGAUCGGGUAUCAAAUCGCAUCCGGGACCAACUUAUAUUUAUAUUAGUUACAUGUUAUAUUUACAUGUACAAAUUACGUACAUGUACCUGUUUAAAUUUAACUGUUGUAAAUAUGUUUGAUUCGAUGCCUUUUACGUUAUGAAAUCUUUCCAGUUCAGACGUUGUAGCUAAACAUCUACGAAAGACCUUUUUUAACUGGAAAAAACUAAAACCACGGUGGUAAUCCAGUAAGCCAGUAAAAUCCAACCAGUUUUCGGUCAAUGAAAGGAACUGGUUUUAUCUGCUUUAAUCAUCCCCCUAAAGGGGGAUCCCAAAUGUCAAUCCGUGGACCUAUUGUUUCAUGAGAAUCGCACCCUUUAUCUGGAAAGAUAAGGCAACCGCCCAACGAUAACGGGGUGGAAUUUCAAGUCAUAAGCUAACAUGCACAUCUUGUGCUAAAAAUAAAAACUCACCCUGACUGUGCCUGUUUGUGUGCGUGCGUGUGUGUGUAUGUGUGUUUGGGUAAACAACAACGUCGUAUGUUUACCAUGCAAUUUCAAAGUCCACUAUUCCACCAACAUUGGAACAGGGACACACGGUUUUUGUAUCUUUUUUUCCAGCGAUGAGAGUUGACGGUUUAUUUU